This 328-nucleotide ribosomal RNA is filed under the name uncultured eukaryote. RNAcentral describes it as "partial 18S ribosomal RNA". It matches the Rfam family "Eukaryotic small subunit ribosomal RNA", at positions 1470 to 1796 of the family's 1831-position model. The record is from RNAcentral.
CCCUUAGAUGUCCUGGGCCGCACGCGCGCUACACUGAUGCAUGCAACGAGUUUAUAACCUUGGCCUGAAAGGUCUGGGUAAUCUUUUGAACGAGCAUCGUGAUAGGGAUAGAUUAUUGCAAUUGUUAAUCUUGAACGAGGAAUUCCUAGCAAACGCGAGUCAUCAGCUCGCAUUGAUUACGUCCCUGCCCUUUGUACACACCGCCCGUCGCACCUACCGAUUGAAUGGUUCGGUGAAGAUCUCGGACUUCGAUAUUUAUUCUUUAUUGAGUUUAUAUUGUGGGAAGUUAUCUAAACCUCAUCAUUUAGAGGAAGGUGAAGUCGUAACA